This is a long non-coding RNA of Prinia subflava (tawny-flanked prinia), 1056 nucleotides long. RefSeq lists it as uncharacterized. Lineage: Eukaryota; Metazoa; Chordata; Aves; Passeriformes; Cisticolidae. The transcript has 3 exons. The record is from RefSeq and is a predicted model, not a curated record.
CAGGCUGGAGAGCAAAGCUCUGGUGCUUGGUUCUUACACUCUGGACAGUACCAGUGAGGCAGAAAUGGGAUGGCUCCUGAGGGAGGCCCUGUGGCUGCUGAGCCCAAGUCUCUCUCUCUGUGGGUGAGUGCCUGCGAUGCUGCUGAAUCCAUCACCUGCAGCCUGAGCAGUUUUCUAUCUGGAGCAGUGCUGUGGGUGAGUGCCUGCAAUGCUGCUGAAUCCAUCACCUGCAUCCUGAGCAGUUUUCUGUCUAAAGCAGGGCUGUGGGUGAGUGCCUGCAAUGCUGCUGAAUCCAUCACCUGCAGCCUGAGCAGUUUUCUGUCUGGAGCUGGGCUGUGGGGACAUCUUAGCAGCUACACGGAGUCACAGGCUGGACCCUUCGGGUACAGCACAGCUCCCUCCAGCCAGGCCAAGAGCAACUGGGCAGAGUCUGUCUUGCAGAUGAUCACUAAAGGAGAGUGAAAAAUUUUAAUCACCUGGACACAGCAAGGAUCACCAGAAUACAACCAGUGAUACCAAGGAAUGUGUGGGGCUGUUUUUCAGGUUGUUGAAAGAAUCAUGUCCUAGUGCCAUAUUUUUCAAACCAUGGAAUGUGGGUCAAUGCUGAUCUAUAAAAACUCUGUAAGAACUGGUCUGAAAAUAACUGCAAAUGACUUUGUAAAACAACCAUAUUUUUCAUUCUCGCUCAUUAAGCAAGCAACCAACCGAAAUGAGAGAAAUUAUAUGGAUGCUGGAAGUUUAUCCUGAUUUGAUUUGUCUUUAACUGGAAACUGUUGUGGCAACACCACAAACAUGGUUCAUUUUUUAUUGAUAAAAUCUUGGUUGGCAAAGUGGAGAAACAUCAGCCAGUGGAAACAAAUUCCUCUGUCCUUUGUUUCAACCACUCUUGGUCUAUUUCCUCCAUUAUUAUCAACCUCCUCAGUCAAUCACAUUCUUUUUGCUAUAACCAGUCCAGCCUUGACUACUGAGUACUUUUCCUUUUCCUCAUGUCAUUAGUUCACCUCAUGCCAAAAUCUCCAUUUUGCUGGGCUGAGAACAAGACAGGGAGCCAGGACA